ACAUUCGUAAGCAAGUGUGGGUGGAAGCU
RNAcentral lists this small RNA (29 nucleotides) under Bombyx mori (domestic silkworm). Its description in RNAcentral is "ovarian small RNA-11187". The record is from RNAcentral. Lineage: Eukaryota; Metazoa; Arthropoda; Insecta; Lepidoptera; Bombycidae.